CCUACGGGAGGCAGCAGUGAGGAAUAUUGGUCAAUGGGCUUACGCCUGAACCAGCCAAGUCGCGUGAGGGAAGACUGCACUAUGGGUUGUAAACCUCUUUUGUCAGGGAGCAACGCCGGCUACGUGUAGCCGGACUGAGAGUACUUGAAGAAAAACCACCGGCUAACUCCGUGCCAGCAGCCGCGGAAAUACGGAGGGGGCAAGCGUUAUCCGGAUUUUCUGGGUGUAAAGGGGGCGCAGACGGCGAUGCAGUCCAGGGGUGAAAGCCCGGGGCCCAACCCCGGGACUGCUCUUGGAACUGGGUGGCUGGAGUGGGGGAGAGGCAGGCGGAAUUCGUGGUGUAGCGGUGAAAUGCGUAGAUAUCGGGAGGAACACCGGUGGCGAAGGCGGCCUGCUGGCCUGCAACUGACGUUGAGGCCCGAAAGCGUGGGGAGCGAACAGGAUUAGAUACCCCUGUAGUC
This 461-nucleotide ribosomal RNA is filed under the name uncultured bacterium. RNAcentral's name for it is "partial 16S ribosomal RNA". It matches the Rfam family "Bacterial small subunit ribosomal RNA", at positions 338 to 795 of the family's 1533-position model. The record is from RNAcentral.